Molecule: ribosomal RNA, 854 nt
Filed under: uncultured fungus
Lineage: Eukaryota; Fungi
Description: eukaryotic LSU rRNA
Rfam family: 5.8S ribosomal RNA (bases 265-419)
Source: RNAcentral
AUCCGAGGGGGAGAUGAUCGAGCGAAGUUUGGUAGAUCGUAGGGAUUGUCGCUGGCCUUUGGCAACGAAGGCAUGUGCACGUUCCGAGCUCUCCUUAGUCCUUGUUUGCUCUUCCUUUGGAGACGUUUCUCAACACCUGUGCACCUUAUUGUAGGUUCCGCAAGGGAUCUAUGUUUUUAUCUACCCCAAACGCAUGUCUUAGAAUGUUAUUAAUGCGUCGAUCGGCCUGGCUAACGCCUCGUCGGCGACGGUAAAGAAUCAUACAACUUUCAGCAACGGAUCUCUUGGCUCUCGCAUCGAUGAAGAACGCAGCGAAUUGCGAUACGUAAUGUGAAUUGCAGAUUUUCAGUGAAUCAUCGAAUCUUUGAAUGCACCUUGCGCUCCUUGGUAUUCCGAGGAGCAUGCCUGUUUGAGUGUCAUUGAAUUCUCAACCGUCCUUUGAUUUAUUUCGAGGGAUGGCUUGGAUUUUGGGAGUUGCUGGCUGACCCUCGGGACGGUCGGCUCUCCUUAAAAGCAUUAGCGAAAGGUGACAAGCCCUGCAUGCACGGCCUUCGACGUGAUAAUGAUCGUCGUGGCUGGAGUGUGAGGCGUAGAUAGUCCAUUUUUUGCUUCCAAAAACAUCGGUAUUUUGGGGAGUUUGCUUCGGCGGACGAACCUUUUUGCCCUUUUUGACGCUUGACCUCAAAUCAGGUAGGACUACCCGCUGAACUUAAGCAUAUCAAUAAGCGGAGGAAAAGAAACUAACAAGGAUUCCCCUAGUAACUGCGAGUGAAGCGGGAAGAGCUCAAAUUUUGAAUCUGGCGGUCUUUCGGCCGUCCGAGUUGUAAUCUAGAGAAGCGUCUUCCGCGCUGGAC